CCAAAUGAGACACACCCCGUCCAAAUUCAUCACAGAUUCUGAGUCCCCAUGAAAUUUCUAGCGUUUUGGUGUACAUGUUGCUCAGUUCCGGCAAUAGUCGAUUUUUCAGCCAUCGUGUACAGUGGCCGACGUCGACAUUCUGGUGACCAGUCUGCAAGACUCCGGCGGGGCCAUAGGAGCCAGAAUUCUUAUCUCGAUUCGGGCAGUGGGAUGGAGUUAACGAAAUUUCUAUUGGUGAGCCCUAAGACUUUGAUACUAAAUUUUUCGAUAAUAAUAAGAGUUUGUUGAUCUAAUUUUAUUGUUUCAGUUUAGUUGAGCUAAAUGCAUAAUUAAAACAGAAAUUUAUUAAAAUGUUAACUUAACUGAGUCAGUUGAUCGAUUAACCUAAAUCGAAGGGAAGUUAGAUUAAAAUCCGAUAUCUAGUUAUCGUUUUGAUGGAUAUCCACUUAUUAUUUAUAUAGUUCAAAUGUUAUGUAAAUAAUGAAGGAUGAGUUUUGAUUAAAGUUAAUGCUCGAUGGAUGGGCUGUAUAUUGAAUUGUGCCUUCGUAUACGUGAUUUGAUAGCUAUCCCGAUUUACAAGGUAGAUGCAACUAGAUUUUCGGUAAAAUGUAUAAUAACGAAUUAAAAUAAUUAUAUCAUUAAGAGAAAUGACUAAUAAAAUUACCGGUACUCGUAUUACCAAUAUAAUAAUAAUAAUAAUAAUAUUAUUAUUAUUAUUACUGCUACUACUUACCAAAGGACUACAAAAUUUAUUAAAGUUUAUAUAUCAGAGUAAAUAAGUAAAUAAAGUAAUAGUAGAUAUACGAUUUGAUAAGUUAAGACUAACUAUUACAUUAGCCAAAAGAUAGUCCUAUUAAGGACGAUAAAGAACUGUGAGUAGAGUUAGAUAAUCUGUAUCACUUAUGCAUUAUACAAUCAUGCAUACAUGUAUAAUAUGAUAUCUACGUGAAACAUGCAUACAUGUAGAAGUGCCAUAUAAGCGUGUAUGCCAUAAGCCGCAUCAAACACAUAUAGUUUUAUAUUGGAAUAUAUAGAGAUGUUGGAUAUCAUACACUGUGUGAGUGAUAUGAAAUUUUGUGAUUGGAUAUGAGUUAUCUGUGAUGUGCCAUGGAAUUAGAAUAAUAUGGGUCACCUUGGGGUGAGAGCACGAGCAUGGUGAGAGUGCCGACAAUGGGUCGUAAGCGAGUGGAGUGGCGCCCCCCCAUGUGUACUCUGUAAUUUGAUGCUCAUCGAUGAUAAAAGAAAAAGAAAGAAAAGUAACAAAAAGGAAAAGAACAGGAAAGAAAAGAGAAAUAGAUGGAUGAGGUCCCUCCAGCCCGAACGGUGAUGGGCUCCUUCAGUGCACUUGACACAAGGAUCGUGAAUUAUUUUUUUGAAAAUUAUUUUAAAGCAUGCUUUGAGGGUGAGCAUGAUCCUUGUUUAUAAUGGGUGAUUCCACAGACUAAUGUCCACUGUUUGAUUACCUGAAUUAUUGUGACUUGUUAAGUAUGCGUUCAUACUUGCUUGUUCAUCCAUAGUUCGCGGGAGGGCUACUAAUUAUAUAACAUGAUUAUCAUAUGUAUGACUGUGUGGGGUGAGAGGGUUAUCUAACCCUAUUCAUUGAGUUUGGCACUCACCCCUGCCUCCUUAUUUUUCUAUGUAAUAGAAGGAAAGAAGAACCCUAUGAAUCAUACUGAGUUAAGAUGCAAAUAAAGAAAAAUAAUAAUAGUUGUAUUAUGUAUAUGCAAUAUAUAUAUAUAUAUAUAUAUAUAUAUAUAUAUAUAUAUAUAAUUUAUAGAGUUCCACAAUUGUAUCCGAAAUGGG
RNAcentral lists this long non-coding RNA (1803 nucleotides) under Jatropha curcas. Its description in RNAcentral is "long non-coding RNA (JCUR_LNC002063)". The record is from RNAcentral. Lineage: Eukaryota; Viridiplantae; Streptophyta; Magnoliopsida; Malpighiales; Euphorbiaceae.